RNAcentral lists this transfer RNA (85 nucleotides) under Escherichia coli. RNAcentral's name for it is "tRNA-Tyr". It matches the Rfam family "tRNA". Rfam says of the family: Transfer RNA (tRNA) molecules are approximately 80 nucleotides in length. Their secondary structure includes four short double-helical elements and three loops (D, anti-codon, and T loops). Further hydrogen bonds mediate the characteristic L-shaped molecular structure. tRNAs have two regions of fundamental functional importance: the anti-codon, which is responsible for specific mRNA codon recognition, and the 3' end, to which the tRNAs corresponding amino acid is attached (by aminoacyl-tRNA synthetases). tRNAs cope with the degeneracy of the genetic code in two manners: having more than one tRNA (with a specific anti-codon) for a particular amino acid; and 'wobble' base-pairing, i.e. permitting non-standard base-pairing at the 3rd anti-codon position. The record is from RNAcentral. Lineage: Bacteria; Pseudomonadati; Pseudomonadota; Gammaproteobacteria; Enterobacterales; Enterobacteriaceae.
GGUGGGGUUCCCGAGCGGCCAAAGGGAGCAGACUGUAAAUCUGCCGUCAUCGACUUCGAAGGUUCGAAUCCUUCCCCCACCCCGA